GGGUCACCACCGUGCACUGUGUGGC
This 25-nucleotide non-coding RNA is filed under the name Rattus norvegicus (Norway rat). The record is from RNAcentral. Lineage: Eukaryota; Metazoa; Chordata; Mammalia; Rodentia; Muridae.